GGAGAGGUAUCGAAGUGGUCAUAACGGGGCGCACUCGAAAUGCGUUUGGGAGCAAUCCCACGUGGGUUCGAAUCCCACCCUUUCCGCCA
Molecule: transfer RNA, 89 nt
Filed under: Bacillota bacterium
Lineage: Bacteria; Bacillati; Bacillota
Description: tRNA-Ser
Rfam family: tRNA
About the family: Transfer RNA (tRNA) molecules are approximately 80 nucleotides in length. Their secondary structure includes four short double-helical elements and three loops (D, anti-codon, and T loops).
Source: RNAcentral